GGCGGACUAGCAAGUCAGAUGUGAAAUCCCAAGGGCUUAACCCUGGAACUGCGUCUGAAACUGUUAGCCUAGAAUCUCAUAGGGGGUAGGGGAAUUUCACGUGUAGGGGUAAAAUCCGUAGAGAUGUGAAGGAACACCGGAGGCGAAGGCGCCUACCUGGAUGAGUAUUGACGCUGAGGCGCGAAAGCGCGGGGAGCAAACAGGAUUAGAUACCCUGGUAGUCCACGCCGUAAACGAUGAGUACUAGUUAUUGGAGGUAUUGACUCCUUCAGUGACGUAGCUAACGCAUUAAGUACUCCGCCUGGGAAGUACGGUCGCAAGCUAAAACUCAAAGGAAUUGACGGGGGGCCCGCACAAGCGGUGGGUUAUGUGGUUUAAUUCGAAGCAACGCGCAGAACCUUACCUAGGCUUGAAAUCCUACGAAUACCGAGUAAUGUUGGUAGUGCCCGCAAGGGAAUGUAGUGACAGGUGCUGCAUGGCU
Molecule: ribosomal RNA, 481 nt
Filed under: uncultured Bacteriovoracaceae bacterium
Lineage: Bacteria; Pseudomonadati; Bdellovibrionota; Bacteriovoracia; Bacteriovoracales; Bacteriovoracaceae
Description: bacterial SSU rRNA
Rfam family: Bacterial small subunit ribosomal RNA
Source: RNAcentral